AUGGCCGAGAGCGACUGGGACACGGUGACGGUGCUGCGCAAGAAGGGCCCCACGGCGGCCCAGGCCAAGUCCAAGCAGGCCAUCUUGGCUGCUCAGAGAAGAGGCGAAGACGUGGAGACAUCCAAGAAAUGGGCAGCUGGCCAGAACAAGCAGCACUCUGUCACCAAGAACACUGCCAAGCUUGGACCGGGAGACAGAGAAAGCUGCACCACGACAGGGUGACCCUGGAAGUUGGCAAGGUGAUCCAGCAGGGCCGGCAGAGCAAGGGGCUUACACAGAAGGACCUGGCCACGAAAAUCAAUGAGAAACCGCAAGUGAUUGCUGACUACGAGAGUGGGCGGACCAUCCCUAACAACCAGGUGCUGGGCAAAAUCGAGAGAGCCAUUGGUCUCAAACUCCGGGGUAAGGACGUGGGGAAGCCCAUUGAGAAGGGGCCAAGGGCGAAAUGA
Elephantulus edwardii (Cape elephant shrew) is the source of this 449-nucleotide RNA transcript. It is a transcript of the gene named endothelial differentiation-related factor 1 pseudogene, with no coding region annotated. The record is from RefSeq and is a predicted model, not a curated record. NCBI's taxonomy places the organism in Eukaryota, Metazoa, Chordata, Mammalia, Macroscelidea, Macroscelididae. The transcript has a single exon.